AUUAUUAUUAUUUUUGGAAAUAAAAAGAGGAAAAAAUACAAAUGAAAAGAGUAUAGGAAUAUUUUUUAUAUGUAUAUAUUUUUUGUACACAUUUAAAAUUUGUUAUGGUCUUAGAUUUUUUAUUCUCUUUUCUUUUCCUUUCCUGAUGUUUAUUUAUGUCCACGUUCUACAUUCAUUAUCGUUUUUUGGUCCUCUUCAGAUAUUCAUAAAAACCGGAAAAUAAGAGUAUUUUGCGUUUUUAUAUUAAAAAUGUCGGUAAUGCACCAUUUUUAUAUAAAUUAGGAUAUAUUCAAUAUCAUUUUUGCCAAGGAUAUAUUCAUGUCUUCUGUGUAUAUCUCUUAAUGGUUCUCCUACUCUUGUUUUGUGUGGUAUAUUCAUAUCUAUAUAUAAUAGCAAACCUAAUUUUGUUCUACUAUGACAUCAGCAUUUUUUAUAGAAAAAAAAAAUUAUAAUCGAACGGCUGAGUUUGUAUUAAUUUGAUGAUCUAAUGGCUAUAGUAUUGUGUUUGUAAAAUAGACUUACGUCAGCAAUUUUUUCGCGAAUCGUUUCUUUUAUCGUCUACUCCCAAGCCACCCUUCGCACAAAUCUUUUACAGUCGCGUCCUUUAACAAGUUGCACCUAUUAACAAGAUUAUAUAUUGAAAUUUAUAGUCUUCCUUUUCACAUCUAAUCAUGGGCAUCAUCAUAAUUCAUCGUCUCAACAUUUAUAUGAUCUUUGAUUUUACUGUCGCCAAAUCUCGUCAGUUAUUUGUUUUAAUCAAUUAUUUGAAUGACUAAGUCUUUGUUUCUACUGGAGUUAUGAGAUAUAUGGGUAGUAAAGUUACGGAUUUGUGUGAUUGAUUGUUCGUUACGAGAGAUUUAAUCGAUUCGGUUUGUGCUGUUGAAUGGAGAUGAUGAUUGAUUUGCUUUUGGUUUGUGUCUGCAGUUCAUAAACAGAGGGAUAUUGUUCCUUUGGAUGUUAACGAUGAUACUAAUGAUUAUUCCGAUGAGGAUGAUGUGCAACCUGUUUUUGAUUUAAAGUUUGGCUUGUAGGGUGUGUGGAUGAUGAUGAAGAUACAGAAGAGGAAGGUCCUGUUCGUUUCGUGAUCUGGAUGCAGCAUCCAGACGCGGCAUCCGAACGCAGUAAUUGGAUGCAGCAAUCAGAUGUUGUUCGUUCGCGAAUCUGAAAUAUUUGGAUUAUGCAUCUGGAAACUGUAUCCGGAUACAGUUAUGUUCGUUUUGUAUUUCUGUAUUUUGUAUCUGGAUGAGUUUUAUAUCAAAUGACCAAAAACUCCUUAUCUUCUCU
Molecule: long non-coding RNA, 1284 nt
Organism: Raphanus sativus (radish)
Lineage: Eukaryota; Viridiplantae; Streptophyta; Magnoliopsida; Brassicales; Brassicaceae
Exons: 2
Source: RefSeq, a predicted model, not a curated record